RNAcentral lists this ribosomal RNA (427 nucleotides) under uncultured bacterium. RNAcentral's name for it is "partial 16S ribosomal RNA". It matches the Rfam family "Bacterial small subunit ribosomal RNA", at positions 354 to 796 of the family's 1533-position model. The record is from RNAcentral.
GUGGGGAAUAUUGGGCAAUGGGGGAAACCCUGACCCAGCGACGCCGCGUGAGGGAAGACGGCCUUCGGGUUGUAAACCUCUUUUGUACGGGAAGAGGGAAGUGACGGUACUGUACGAAUAAGUCCCGGCUAACUACGUGCCAGCAGCCGCGGUAAUACGUAGGGGACGAGCGUUGUCCGGAAUUACUGGGCGUAAAGGGCGCGCAGGCUGUGCUGCAAGUCAGCUGUGAAAUGUCUGGGCUUAACCCGGGCAUGCGGUUGAGACUGCAGUGCUGGAGUGCUGUAGAGGCAAGUGGAAUUCCCAGUGUAGCGGUGAAAUGCGUAGAUAUUGGGAAGAACACCGGUGGCGAAGGCGACUUGCUGGGCAGCAACUGACGCUGAGGCGCGAAAGCCAGGGGAGCAAACGGGAUUAGAUACCCUAGUAGUCC